RNAcentral lists this ribosomal RNA (492 nucleotides) under uncultured bacterium. RNAcentral's name for it is "partial 16S ribosomal RNA". It matches the Rfam family "Bacterial small subunit ribosomal RNA", at positions 29 to 507 of the family's 1533-position model. The record is from RNAcentral.
AGUGAACGCUGGCGGUAGGCCUAACACAUGCAAGUCGAACGGCAGCACAGUAAGAGCUUGCUCUUACGGGUGGCGAGUGGCGGACGGGUGAGGAAUACAUCGGAAUCUACUUUUUCGUGGGGGAUAACGUAGGGAAACUUACGCUAAUACCGCAUACGACCUACGGGUGAAAGCAGGGGAUCUUCGGACCUUGCGCGAUUGAAUGAGCCGAUGUCGGAUUAGCUAGUUGGCGGGGUAAAGGCCCACCAUGGCGACGAUCCGUAGCUGGUCUGAGAGGAUGAUCAGCCACACUGGAACUGAGACACGGUCCAGACUCCUACGGGAGGCAGCAGUGGGGAAUAUUGGACAAUGGGCGAAAGCCUGAUCCAGCCAUACCGCGUGGGUGAAGAAGGCCUUCGGGUUGUAAAGCCCUUUUGUUGGGAAAGAAAAGCAGUAGGUUAAUACCCCGCUGUUCUGACGGUACCCAAAGAAUAAGCACCGGCUAACUUCGUG